ACGAACGCUGGCGGCGUGCCUAAUACAUGCAAGUCGAACGGUCUUUCUAUGGAAGCUUGCUUCCACUGAGAAGAUAGUGGCGAACGGGUGAGUAACACGUGGGUAACCUGCCCAUAAGAGGGGGGAUAACAUCCGGAAACGGGUGCUAAUACCGCAUAGUUUUCUUGAUCGCAUGAUUGAGAAAGGAAAGACGGCCUUUGUGCUGUCGCUUAUGGAUGGACCCGCGGCGUAUUAGUUAGUUGGUGAGGUAACGGCUCACCAAGACGAUGAUACGUAGCCGACCUGAGAGGGUGAUCGGCCACAUUGGGACUGAGACACGGCCCAAACUCCUACGGGAGGCAGCAGUAGGGAAUCUUCCGCAAUGGACGAAAGUCUGACGGAGCAACGCCGCGUGAGUGAAGAAGGUUUUCGGGAAUCGUAAAACUCUGUUGUCAGAGAAGAACAAGUUGGAGAGUAACUGCUCCAGCCUUGACGGUAUCUGACCAGAAAGCCACGGCUAACUACGUGCCAGCAGCAGC
This 518-nucleotide ribosomal RNA is filed under the name uncultured bacterium. Its description in RNAcentral is "bacterial SSU rRNA". It matches the Rfam family "Bacterial small subunit ribosomal RNA", at positions 29 to 518 of the family's 1533-position model. The record is from RNAcentral.